RNAcentral lists this long non-coding RNA (445 nucleotides) under Callithrix jacchus (white-tufted-ear marmoset). RNAcentral's name for it is "lncRNA (ENSCJAG00000072639.1)". The record is from RNAcentral. Lineage: Eukaryota; Metazoa; Chordata; Mammalia; Primates; Cebidae.
AUGGUAUUGCAGCUUCCCACUGGGGUUGACAGAGCUGGUGCUCAGGUAAUCAACAUUUUGCUGAGCCUACGAGGAAGCAUUUGGGACAACUUCACAAUGCAUAUUGGUGCUUCUUCUUCCUGCUGCCUUGUGAAGAAGGUGCCUGGCUUGCCCUUCACUUUCUGCCAUGAUCAUAAGUUUCUUGAGGCCUCCUCAGCUAUGCUGAACUGCUGGUUUUGUACUCCUAGCCUCAAGAUAGCCUCCUGUUUCCACCUCCCAAUGUGCUGGAAUUACAGGUAUGCACCACCAUGCCUGGCCCAUGUUGCAUAAAACUUAAACCUACCAUCUUUCAUUAGCAUAUUGUGAACUGCAUGAUUCUCAGUAUGGGCCAGAUAUGAGUUUCCCUUUGCUGAUACAAUAAUUCCAAAAUUAUCUUUGCUUUCAAGUUUUAUUUAGGCUGAUUAGG